This is a long non-coding RNA of Aedes aegypti (yellow fever mosquito), 765 nucleotides long. RefSeq lists it as uncharacterized. The record is from RefSeq and is a predicted model, not a curated record. The transcript has 4 exons. NCBI's taxonomy places the organism in Eukaryota, Metazoa, Arthropoda, Insecta, Diptera, Culicidae.
UUGUUGCGCACGCGUGCUCGGCCUCAAGCCGCCAUUUUCAGUUUACCGCAACCGAUGGAUGUUGUGUUUUGGAAAAUCAUUGACGGUGUUGAUACAUAUGCAAUGAGUGAUGUUCCGAUGCCAAGGAACUUCAUUGGGAAUAUUUUUUCUGAAAAUCUUCAAUUCCAGCAUUCUUAAAUGACGGAACACAACUGUUGCUGUCCGAAAUCAGCCUAUCAGCGGCCUAAAGAACGCCGUCAAGAGUGAAUCCUUGAAAAUAUGGAGAAAGCUCGUCGGAUCGAGUGAAACCAAAAGGAAUCGAGUGCGAAAAAAAGCGACCACCCAGCGCUCCACGCUAAAGAAUCGUUAUCGAUUCCUCCAAACUACAGGUCAACCCAAUGCGUUGGCAGCAUCUACGUCUUGCUUGCUCAGCGAUGGAUCAAAGAACGUAUUCCGGUAGCAGUUCGGUGUACCUGUUUCCUCAAGCUGUAACAAAUUUCCAACCGGAAGAAUCAACAAUAAAAGGGGAUGUUGCGCUGGAAGCUACAUCAUCCUCAUCUACAAAACUUCCGCCACAGCAACGUUUCGUCAACAGACAGCGUGGACCUCAACCUGGUAAAUAUAAACCAUUGGAUGAAGGCUACGAUUCCAUCGCACAUGGCAAAAAACGAACCAUUCCUGGCUGGUCCACCGAAGGCACACGGGUGACCAUGAUUUCGCUCUACAUGGGAUGUAGCGGAGACACCAGCUGCUCCGCUGUUUUGGAACGGCACGAAAAACAUGAAC